Molecule: ribosomal RNA, 445 nt
Filed under: uncultured bacterium
Lineage: Bacteria
Description: bacterial SSU rRNA
Rfam family: Bacterial small subunit ribosomal RNA
Source: RNAcentral
CCUACGGGACGCACCAGUGGGGAAUAUUGGACAAUGGGCGGAAGCCUGAUCCAGCAACGCCGCGUGAGGGAUGACGGCCUUCGGGUUGUAAACCUCUUUCAGCUCCGACGAAGCGAAAGUGACGGUAGGGGUAGAAGAAGGACCGGCCAACUACGUGCCAGCAGCCGCGGUAAUACGUAGGGUCCGAGCGUUGUCCGGAAUUAUUGGGCGUAAAGGGCUCGUAGGCGGUUUGUCGCGUCGGGAGUGAAAACAGCGGGCUUAACUCGUUGCUUGCUUCCGAUACGGGCAGACUAGAGGUAUGCAGGGGAGAAUGGAAUUCCUGGUGUAGCGGUGAAAUGCGCAGAUAUCAGGAGGAACACCGGUGGCGAAGGCGGUUCUCUGGGCAUUACCUGACGCUGAGGAGCGAAAGUGUGGGGAGCGAACAGGAUUAGAUACCCCAGUAGUC